Long non-coding RNA from Nycticebus coucang (slow loris), 955 nucleotides. RefSeq lists it as uncharacterized. The record is from RefSeq and is a predicted model, not a curated record. Lineage: Eukaryota; Metazoa; Chordata; Mammalia; Primates; Lorisidae. The transcript has 3 exons.
AGGGUUACCAUUCUCUGUCAAUCUGUAUAGGUUCUAGAUUGCCCCCCUGUGGCAAUGAGUUGAUGGAGAGUUGACUUAGAGGGAUGGACAUGGUGUGCUGGAUUUCUACAGAUGUCAUAAUAAGCCAAGUUUCUUCAGAGGCUUAUCAGUGAAGCUUCAGAGUUGAAGGUUGCUCUGUGGAAGAAAGAUCAACUGUAGGCCUUUGACACGCGUUGGACUUAGUCCGGCCCUCCAACGGUCUGAGGGACAGUGAACUGGCCCCCCGUUUAAAAAGUUUGAGGACGCCUGGGUUAGGUGGUCUGUCUGUCCGAGGCUGCACGGUGGGUCAGAAGCAAAACUGGAGCUCUAGGGCUAAAGCCUGCACUUGUAACCAGGAUGCUCUGUGAGUUUUCUUCUUAACAUUUAUUUGCUGAAAGACUAUAAGUUGUCCUAGUAUUUAGUGGGGACGUUAUAUGAAACCCAUACAUGAGAUAGGUACUGAACUAGGUGACUUCCAGAUCCUUCCCUUACUCUGAGUCGUUGUCCAGGCUGCAGAAGCCUCCCGUACAUAUUUCUGAAAGAGCCACUUCUCUGUACAGGAUGUCCCACCAGCCUGGUGCCUCCCCAGCCCAUGACGCUGCUACUCAUUUGGGAACUCAGAGAGCAGCUGUUGCUGUGUUUUCUGCAUUCUUGUUCACUCUAGGAACCCUGAUGAGCACUCACUACUUCACUUUCAUCUUGCUCUUAAAGCAAAUUUAGAAUGUAAUGGCUGUCAUACAGUUCAAACUGCUAGGAUAACCUAGGUCUACAGUUCAAAUUAAACAUUACCGCCUACAUCUCUGGGUUUGAAACUAGUGUACCCAGAAGAAACUGCAAAGUGACAGUUAUGUUGCAAUAUUUUAAGUGCAAACAGGAGUGGUCCUGUGUGCUGGCAAUGGCAAGGCCAUGUUGUCUAAAGUCUCUAUUUGAUUACUCA